This is a non-coding RNA of Cavia porcellus (domestic guinea pig), 47 nucleotides long. The record is from Rfam. NCBI's taxonomy places the organism in Eukaryota, Metazoa, Chordata, Mammalia, Rodentia, Caviidae.
CCAAGGGCUCUUUUUAGAGCCACUUAAAAAAUAAUAAUUAUAUAUCU